Alnus glutinosa is the source of this 657-nucleotide long non-coding RNA. RefSeq lists it as uncharacterized. The transcript is spliced from 3 exons. The record is from RefSeq and is a predicted model, not a curated record. Lineage: Eukaryota; Viridiplantae; Streptophyta; Magnoliopsida; Fagales; Betulaceae.
ACGCAGCACUCUUCCUUCUUCUCUUUUCUUUCUUUCUUCUUUCCUCUUCUCUGUUCUUCAUUUCCCUUCCACCCGAGAGACACCAAACAGAGAGAGAUGCGGAGAAUGAGAGAGUGAGAUCAAGAGAUUGAGAGGGAUGAGACUCGGGAGAGAGAGAGAGAGAGAGAGAGAGAAAAGAGCAGAUCCGGUGGAUCCGUGAGGGAGACCCGAGUGAGACCCGGUCCUUCUGGAGGUCCGGUUGGUGGCUAGAUGACGGUGGUCGGCGCUGGUGAAGCAGUGGGUCGAAUUUCGGUGACUCCUAGUGCGAUUUUCGAUGAUUUGUGGGGAUUUUUCUAUAGGAUAGUGUCCAGAUUGGAGACUUCAUGGGGUUCUCCAAUAUUGAGUUCGAGUCAAGAGUCCAAUGCAGCCAAGGUACUUGGGUCGUAGUUGAUGGGAGUGUAGACGUGCAUUUGAGAUAUUAUGACCAGAGCUCGCCGCGACGGUCGUAAAUGCGGGACCAUGGGCGUCCUCAGCUUUAUAGGUUUUGUUAUGGCUUGUGACGCAUGUGUCACUCGUUAUUGUAUAAAGCCAUUUCUAUUAUGUAUUUAUAUUGAGGAAAGACUUAAACACGUAGAUGUUAAAUGGCUCUUGUUGUUAUUAAUUUAUGAUAGAUGUUUA